This 69-nucleotide transfer RNA is filed under the name Alauda arvensis (Eurasian skylark). RNAcentral describes it as "tRNA-Ala". It matches the Rfam family "tRNA". Rfam says of the family: Transfer RNA (tRNA) molecules are approximately 80 nucleotides in length. Their secondary structure includes four short double-helical elements and three loops (D, anti-codon, and T loops). Further hydrogen bonds mediate the characteristic L-shaped molecular structure. tRNAs have two regions of fundamental functional importance: the anti-codon, which is responsible for specific mRNA codon recognition, and the 3' end, to which the tRNAs corresponding amino acid is attached (by aminoacyl-tRNA synthetases). tRNAs cope with the degeneracy of the genetic code in two manners: having more than one tRNA (with a specific anti-codon) for a particular amino acid; and 'wobble' base-pairing, i.e. permitting non-standard base-pairing at the 3rd anti-codon position. Lineage: Eukaryota; Metazoa; Chordata; Aves; Passeriformes; Alaudidae. The record is from RNAcentral.
GAGGCCCUAGCUUAAUUAAAGUAUCUGGGUUGCAUUCAGAGGAUGCGGGGUAGAAUCCUGCGGGUCUUA